This 253-nucleotide ribosomal RNA is filed under the name uncultured bacterium. RNAcentral describes it as "partial 16S ribosomal RNA". It matches the Rfam family "Bacterial small subunit ribosomal RNA", at positions 524 to 776 of the family's 1533-position model. The record is from RNAcentral.
UACGGGGGUGGCAAGCGUUGUUCGGAAUUACUGGGCGUAAAGGGCUCGUAGGCGGCCAACUAAGUCCGACGUGAAAUCCCCAGGCUUAACCUGGGAACUGCGUCGGAUACUGGAUGGCUUGAAUUCGGGAGAGGGAUGCAGAAUUCCAGGUGUAGCGGUGAAAUGCGUAGAUAUCUGGAGGAAUACCGGUGGCGAAGGCGGCAUCCUGGACCGGCAUUGACGCUGAGGAGCGAAAGCCAGGGGAGCAAACGGG